RNAcentral lists this ribosomal RNA (460 nucleotides) under uncultured bacterium. Its description in RNAcentral is "partial 16S ribosomal RNA". It matches the Rfam family "Bacterial small subunit ribosomal RNA", at positions 338 to 795 of the family's 1533-position model. The record is from RNAcentral.
CCUACGGGCGGCAGCAGUGAGGAAUAUUGGUCAAUGGGCGGGAGCCUGAACCAGCCAAGCCGCGUGAGGGAAGAAGGUCCUACGUAUUGUAAACCUCUUUUGUCAAGGAACAAAGUCAGGGACUAGUCCCCGGUUGAGGGUACCUGAAGAAAAAGCAUCGGCUAACUCCGUGCCAGCAGCCGCGGUAAUACGGAGGAUGCGAGCGUUAUCCGGAUUUAUUGGGUUUAAAGGGUGCGCAGGGGGGCUGUUAAGUCAGCGGGGAAAGCCCCGGGCUCAACCCCCGACGUGCGGUUGAAAUGGGCGGGCUGGAGUUGGAGAGAGGUAGGCGGAAUGCGCGGUGUAGCGGUGAAAUGCUUAGAUAUCGCGCAGAACCCCGAUUGCGAAGGCAGCGUACCGGCUCCACACUGACGCUGAGGCACGAAAGCGUGGGUAUCGAACAGGAUUAGAUACCCGAGUAGUC